CCCAAGGAUGGGGCCGCGGCCGAUCAGGUUGUUGGUGAGGUAACGGCUCACCAAGCCUUUAACCGGUGCGGGCCGUGGGAGCGGGAGCCCGGAGAUGGGCACUGAGACAAGGGCCCAGGCCCUACGGGGCGCAGCAGUCGCGCAAAUUUCACAAUAAGCGAAAGCUUGAUGGAGCCAUCCCGAGUGCCAUCCGCUGAGGAUGGCUUUUCCCUAGUGUAGAUAGCUGGGGGAAUAAGGAGAGGGCAAGUCUGGUGUCAGCCGCCGCGGUAAUACCAGCUCUCCGAGUGGUGUGGAUGAUUAUUGGGCCUAAAGCAUCCGUAGCCGGCUGGGCAAGUCCCCCGUUAAAUCCAACGAAUAAUCGCUGGCCUGCAGGGGAUACUGCUCGGCUUGGGGGCGAGAGAGGCCGCCGGUAUUUCCGGGGUAGGGGUGAAAUCCUAUAAUCCCGGGAGGACCACCAGUGGCGAAGGCUGUCGGCUAGAACGCGCCCGACGGUGAGGGAUGAAAGCUGGGGGAGCGAACCGGAUUAGAUACCCGGGUAGUCCCAGCUGUAAACGAU
RNAcentral lists this ribosomal RNA (556 nucleotides) under uncultured archaeon. Its description in RNAcentral is "bacterial SSU rRNA". It matches the Rfam family "Archaeal small subunit ribosomal RNA", at positions 202 to 761 of the family's 1478-position model. The record is from RNAcentral.